This 88-nucleotide ribosomal RNA is filed under the name Acinetobacter baumannii. The record is from RNAcentral. Lineage: Bacteria; Pseudomonadati; Pseudomonadota; Gammaproteobacteria; Moraxellales; Moraxellaceae.
CCUGAUCCCGUCCCGAACUCAGAAGUGAAACCUCUUAGCGCUGAUGGUAGUGUGGGAUUACCCAUGUGAGAGUAAGUCAUCGCCAGCU